GCCUCGCGAGUAAAAAUAUCUCCAGUCCUUCGCCCAUAUACGUUUCAUUGUACUAUCACUAUAUUCUUUACUACUAUUCCUCGUCAGGGAACUCCACUUUGCUUUCAGGACAGAGACCCUAUACUGAGAAAGCAAGCAAAAGCUUCGAGAUAUGAUGCUUGCAGUUGAAAGUCUGAAACUAUUUAUAUAAUAUGUUACAAGUUAAAAGGAAACAAAGAAAACAUGUGAGCAUAUAUCUCUAUCUCAAUAUAUUCACAUGUUACCAAGAAUGAAUAAAUUAAGAUAUCGUAAUCAAAAACAUGGGACAAGAAUGUGUUAAAGAGGAAGGGAAACGUAGGAAAGGGGGCUAAGGGAGCUCAGGAUCAGAUAUCUUAACACAUGGACUGUUGUUCACUGGCUUAUUGAGUUGUUAUGUUGGGAGGCUCAAACCGUUGUUUUAUGAAUCAUUACGUUAGCGAACAAAGGAAUUGCUAUGAUGGGAGGGCUUCCUAUCUGGAGCUCUAGCUAUCCUUAAGUUAAAGGAUGGUGCAUUAAGUUUUCAGCAAGCAAACCAUCAGUAAGGACUCAUUUUCAGGUAUCUUUCAGAGUUGUCAGCUUCUACAUAUUAUUGAUCUCUUCAGAUGUUCAUUUCCUUGAGGCUUUUAAGGUAGAUUACUUGCGAGGUUCCAUAUUUCUUCUCCCUAAACUGGCUGCUAUUUGCAACAAUAUAAUAAUAUAAAAGCCUCUCUUCUUAAAAUUUGCACAUAAAUCUUAAACUGGUCCUACGUACGUCAGUC
This 776-nucleotide long non-coding RNA is filed under the name Phoenix dactylifera (date palm). RNAcentral's name for it is "long non-coding RNA (PDAC_LNC000943)". The record is from RNAcentral. Lineage: Eukaryota; Viridiplantae; Streptophyta; Magnoliopsida; Arecales; Arecaceae.